Molecule: ribosomal RNA, 374 nt
Filed under: uncultured bacterium
Lineage: Bacteria
Description: bacterial SSU rRNA
Rfam family: Bacterial small subunit ribosomal RNA
Source: RNAcentral
AUACGUAGGGAGCAAGCGUUAUCCGGAUUCAUUGGGCGUAAAGAGCGCGUAGGCGGCUCGUUAAGCCAGGUGUGAAAGGCGGAGGCUCAACCUCCGUAGGCACCUGGAACUGGCGGGCUCGAGUUCGGUAGAGGAAGAUGGAAUUCCCAGUGUAGCGGUGAAAUGCGCAGAUAUUGGGAGGAACACCGAUGGCGAAGGCAGUCUUCUGGGCCGUAACUGACGCUGAGGCGCGAAAGCUGGGGGAGCGAACAGGAUUAGAUACCCUGGUAGUCCCAGCCGUAAACGAUGGACGCUAGGUGUGGGGAGGGAAUCCUUUCCGCGCCGAAGCCAACGCAUUAAGCGUCCCGCCUGGGGAGUACGACCGCAAGGUUAAA